AGCGAGCGCUGAUGACGUAAUGAGGGAUUAGCUUGCCAGUGGAAAUGCAUCUGCGCACAUACAUUUCACAUACUUUUUGGCCAAUUUUCAAUCGAAGAGGAGGUUGUUUUCUAUGUUCUCUCAACGUCGUGAGCGAUCCCGUCUUCUAUACCCUUCCAGGUACCCUGAAGGUCCUCCAGAGGAGAAUUUAUCUCCAGCGAAGCGUUGUUGAUCCGCUAAAUUCGUCUCGAGACAUAUUCACCCAGUGCAGUGCUGAUAAAUGUAGAAUGUUGAAUCUGUGAUAAUUGUUGACGAUGGAGAGAGAGGCUGAUAGCCGCUGUCGCAGGGAGAGUGAAGCUGCUGGAAGUAACAACGGGGAGCCCAUUUGUAUCACCUGAACAACCAGACUUCAAAGCAGCUUGACCAAAUCGGAGGGUGCCUCGUUGCUUAUCGUCAAUAUUACACCGACAUGAAUUACUACAAGUACACUGGUCUGUCCAAUAUGCAUUGACGGUAUUGGGUAUGGUAUCUGCUCUGAGAAGGGAAUCGCUGGAGCCACAGUCCAAUUAUACAGGCUUUCAAGAAACAGAGGAGCCAUCUUUCCCAGCUGAUACCUGAUGUGUACCGACGGAAUUCUCACGAGAUACCUUACGGACAACGUGUGGUGUGUACUUCAUAGUACUCCUUCGACUACUAUCUAGAAUCAAGUCGACUGAAACAAGUUCAAACAACUCUGGCUUCAAACGAGCCGUCGAUUAGACAAACAAAACAUUCUCUCAUAUACUGGAGCACUCUGACAACUCACGACCUAUUCCUAACGCCACCGCUUAUAAAAUAUGUAGAGUGCUGAUUGGAAUGUGCUCACAAUCUCAACAAUUCAGUGCUAUAAUUAUUUGAACAAUGUGUUAGAAAUUAUUCCACUUUUCCUUCCAUAAAUGUUGUAUCCACAGUGCUCCAAAGUUUCUUUGCUCUCUA
Sycon ciliatum is the source of this 954-nucleotide long non-coding RNA. RefSeq lists it as uncharacterized. NCBI's taxonomy places the organism in Eukaryota, Metazoa, Porifera, Calcarea, Leucosolenida, Sycettidae. The record is from RefSeq and is a predicted model, not a curated record. The transcript has 2 exons.